AGUGGGGAAUUUUGGACAAUGGGCGCAAGCCUGAUCCAGCAAUGCCGCGUGAGUGAAGAAGGCCUUCGGGUUGUAAAGCUCUUUUGUCAGGGAAGAAACGGUUCCGGCUAAUAUCUGGAGCUAAUGACGGUACCUGAAGAAUAAGCACCGGCUAACUACGUGCCAGCAGCCGCGGUAAUACGUAGGGUGCAAGCGUUAAUCGGAAUUACUGGGCGUAAAGCGUGCGCAGGCGGUUUUGUAAGUCUGUCGUGAAAGCCCCGGGCUCAACCUGGGAAUUGCGAUGGAGACUGCAAGGCUUGAAUCUGGCAGAGGGGGGUAGAAUUCCACGUGUAGCAGUGAAAUGCGUAGAGAUGUGGAGGAACACCGAUGGCGAAGGCAGCCCCCUGGGUCAAGAUUGACGCUCAUGCACGAAAGCGUGGGGAGCAAA
RNAcentral lists this ribosomal RNA (427 nucleotides) under uncultured Massilia sp. RNAcentral's name for it is "bacterial SSU rRNA". It matches the Rfam family "Bacterial small subunit ribosomal RNA", at positions 353 to 772 of the family's 1533-position model. Lineage: Bacteria; Pseudomonadati; Pseudomonadota; Betaproteobacteria; Burkholderiales; Oxalobacteraceae. The record is from RNAcentral.